GGUUAAGCGACUAAGCGUACACGGUGGAUGCCCUGGCAGUCAGAGGCGAUGAAGGACGUGCUAAUCUGCGAUAAGCGUCGGUAAGGUGAUAUGAACCGUUAUAACCGGCGAUUUCCGAAUGGGGAAACCCAGUGUGUUUCGACACACUAUCAUUAACUGAAUCCAUAGGUUAAUGAGGCGAACCGGGGGAACUGAAACAUCUAAGUACCCCGAGGAAAAGAAAUCAACCGAGAUUCCCCCAGUAGCGGCGAGCGAACGGGGAGCAGCCCAGAGCCUGAAUCAGUGUGUGUGUUAGUGGAAGCGUCUGGAAAGGCGCGCGAUACAGGGUGACAGCCCCGUACACAAAAAUGCACAUGCUGUGAGCUCGAUGAGUAGGGCGGGACACGUGGUAUCCUGUCUGAAUAUGGGGGGACCAUCCUCCAAGGCUAAAUACUCCUGACUGACCGAUAGUGAACCAGUACCGUGAGGGAAAGGCGAAAAGAACCCCGGCGAGGGGAGUGAAAAAGAACCUGAAACCGUGUACGUACAAGCAGUGGGAGCACGCUUAGGCGUGUGACUGCGUACCUUUUGUAUAAUGGGUCAGCGACUUAUAUUCUGUAGCAAGGUUAACCGAAUAGGGGAGCCGAAGGGAAACCGAGUCUUAACUGGGCGUUAAGUUGCAGGGUAUAGACCCGAAACCCGGUGAUCUAGCCAUGGGCAGGUUGAAGGUUGGGUAACACUAACUGGAGGACCGAACCGACUAAUGUUGAAAAAUUAGCGGAUGACUUGUGGCUGGGGGUGAAAGGCCAAUCAAACCGGGAGAUAGCUGGUUCUCCCCGAAAGCUAUUUAGGUAGCGCCUCGUGAAUUCAUCUCCGGGGGUAGAGCACUGUUUCGGCAAGGGGGUCAUCCCGACUUACCAACCCGAUGCAAACUGCGAAUACCGGAGAAUGUUAUCACGGGAGACACACGGCGGGUGCUAACGUCCGUCGUGAAGAGGGAAACAACCCAGACCGCCAGCUAAGGUCCCAAAGUCAUGGUUAAGUGGGAAACGAUGUGGGAAGGCCCAGACAGCCAGGAUGUUGGCUUAGAAGCAGCCAUCAUUUAAAGAAAGCGUAAUAGCUCACUGGUCGAGUCGGCCUGCGCGGAAGAUGUAACGGGGCUAAACCAUGCACCGAAGCUGCGGCAGCGACGCUGAUGCGUUGUUGGGUAGGGGAGCGUUCUGUAAGCCUGUGAAGGUGUGCUGUGAGGCAUGCUGGAGGUAUCAGAAGUGCGAAUGCUGACAUAAGUAACGAUAAAGCGGGUGAAAAGCCCGCUCGCCGGAAGACCAAGGGUUCCUGUCCAACGUUAAUCGGGGCAGGGUGAGUCGACCCCUAAGGCGAGGCCGAAAGGCGUAGUCGAUGGGAAACAGGUUAAUAUUCCUGUACUUGGUGUUACUGCGAAGGGGGGACGGAGAAGGCUAUGUUGGCCGGGCGACGGUUGUCCCGGUUUAAGCGUGUAGGCUGGUUUUCCAGGCAAAUCCGGAAAAUCAAGGCUGAGGCGUGAUGACGAGGCACUACGGUGCUGAAGCAACAAAUGCCCUGCUUCCAGGAAAAGCCUCUAAGCAUCAGGUAACAUCAAAUCGUACCCCAAACCGACACAGGUGGUCAGGUAGAGAAUACCAAGGCGCUUGAGAGAACUCGGGUGAAGGAACUAGGCAAAAUGGUGCCGUAACUUCGGGAGAAGGCACGCUGAUAUGUAGGUGAAGUCCCUCGCGGAUGGAGCUGAAAUCAGUCGAAGAUACCAGCUGGCUGCAACUGUUUAUUAAAAACACAGCACUGUGCAAACACGAAAGUGGACGUAUACGGUGUGACGCCUGCCCGGUGCCGGAAGGUUAAUUGAUGGGGUCAGCGCAAGCGAAGCUCUUGAUCGAAGCCCCGGUAAACGGCGGCCGUAACUAUAACGGUCCUAAGGUAGCGAAAUUCCUUGUCGGGUAAGUUCCGACCUGCACGAAUGGCGUAAUGAUGGCCAGGCUGUCUCCACCCGAGACUCAGUGAAAUUGAACUCGCUGUGAAGAUGCAGUGUACCCGCGGCAAGACGGAAAGACCCCGUGAACCUUUACUAUAGCUUGACACUGAACAUUGAGCCUUGAUGUGUAGGAUAGGUGGGAGGCUUUGAAGUGUGGACGCCAGUCUGCAUGGAGCCGACCUUGAAAUACCACCCUUUAAUGUUUGAUGUUCUAACGUUGACCCGUGAUCCGGGUUGCGGACAGUGUCUGGUGGGUAGUUUGACUGGGGCGGUCUCCUCCUAAAGAGUAACGGAGGAGCACGAAGGUUGGCUAAUCCUGGUCGGACAUCAGGAGGUUAGUGCAAUGGCAUAAGCCAGCUUGACUGCGAGCGUGACGGCGCGAGCAGGUGCGAAAGCAGGUCAUAGUGAUCCGGUGGUUCUGAAUGGAAGGGCCAUCGCUCAACGGAUAAAAGGUACUCCGGGGAUAACAGGCUGAUACCGCCCAAGAGUUCAUAUCGACGGCGGUGUUUGGCACCUCGAUGUCGGCUCAUCACAUCCUGGGGCUGAAGUAGGUCCCAAGGGUAUGGCUGUUCGCCAUUUAAAGUGGUACGCGAGCUGGGUUUAGAACGUCGUGAGACAGUUCGGUCCCUAUCUGCCGUGGGCGCUGGAGAACUGAGGGGGGCUGCUCCUAGUACGAGAGGACCGGAGUGGACGCAUCACUGGUGUUCGGGUUGUCAUGCCAAUGGCACUGCCCGGUAGCUAAAUGCGGAAGAGAUAAGUGCUGAAAGCAUCUAAGCACGAAACUUGCCCCGAGAUGAGUUCUCCCUGACCCUUUAAGGGUCCUGAAGGAACGUUGAAGACGACGACGUUGAUAGGCCGGGUGUGUAAGCGCAGCGAUGCGUUGAGCUAACCGGUACUAAUGAACCGUGAGGCUUAACCUU
This 2904-nucleotide ribosomal RNA is filed under the name Escherichia coli. RNAcentral describes it as "23S ribosomal RNA". It matches the Rfam family "Bacterial large subunit ribosomal RNA". The record is from RNAcentral. Lineage: Bacteria; Pseudomonadati; Pseudomonadota; Gammaproteobacteria; Enterobacterales; Enterobacteriaceae.